Capra hircus (goat) is the source of this 78-nucleotide small nuclear RNA. Its record names the gene U4. It matches the Rfam family "U4 spliceosomal RNA". From Rfam's summary of the family: U4 small nuclear RNA (U4 snRNA) is a component of the major U2-dependent spliceosome. The structure of U4 snRNA from yeast and human has been reported. NCBI's taxonomy places the organism in Eukaryota, Metazoa, Chordata, Mammalia, Artiodactyla, Bovidae. The record is from Ensembl.
AGCUUUGUGCAGUGGCACUGUUGUAGCCACUGAGGUUUAUCCAAGGUAUGAUUAUUGCUAAUUGGAUAUAUAAUCAGG